GGUCUCCCUCUGCAGGGCAAUUGAUCGCGGGGCUCCCAGAUCAAUAGUCCUGCAGAGGGAGGCC
Molecule: microRNA precursor, 64 nt
Filed under: Myotis davidii
Lineage: Eukaryota; Metazoa; Chordata; Mammalia; Chiroptera; Vespertilionidae
Description: mir-9242 microRNA precursor family
Rfam family: mir-9242 microRNA precursor family
Source: Rfam by way of RNAcentral